Molecule: long non-coding RNA, 1631 nt
Filed under: Lactuca sativa (garden lettuce)
Lineage: Eukaryota; Viridiplantae; Streptophyta; Magnoliopsida; Asterales; Asteraceae
Description: long non-coding RNA (LSAT_LNC006892)
Source: RNAcentral
AAAAAUAAACAAAUAAAACAAAUUUAUAGUCACAUUUUAUAAAAUUAGAAUGCCAUUCUUGGAAUAUUUGUCCCAUUCUACAAGCAUAUAGUGUUUUAUAUUAAGCCAUUUUGAAAGAAUCUUCAUUCCGUAAGAAUACAAUAUCUUAUAGUAAGUCAUUCUUGAAAGAAUCUUAAUUCUCAUUAUUGGUAUGGUGAAUCACAAUUGUCAUGAAAUUGUCUCUUAAUUUUUGUCCAUCAUUGUUGUUCCAAGAAACAUUGCUACGUUCUGAGUGGUCCUGAAACAAAAAUAUACAAAUAAUGAAGUUUACGAAUGUAAAUAAAUACAAUUGUCAUCAAAUAAGAUGUAGAAAUAUUUGACCUUCUAUGCUAAUAUUAACAUAAGAAAGAACAAAAAAAAAGUCGUUUUUCUUGUUAGUAUUACUUGAGGUAACAUCAAGAUUUCUGCAACAAAACUUUUUCUAGCAUUAUAACAUGAAAAAAAAAAAACAAUUGUUAUUAAGAAAUGACAACAUUUUGUAUAAAAGAAACUUAACAUUUAUAACAUUUUGUAUAAAAACAUCACUUGUAAUAGGUAAGAAUAAUUAACCUGAUAUUAACGAGGUAGGAAUAAUCUGAAUAGGCACAAGAAACGAUCUUACUGAUGAAGCACAAACACAAACUAAGCAUCACAACCCAUUCGAACAGAACUUAACCACUUAGAAUACCAUUCCAACACUUAAUCUAUGAAUAACAAACAAACGUAUGUAAAAAAUAAAAAUUUAAUGGGUGAAAGCUUUAGUAAGAAACACUACAUGCAUUUAUGACGUAUUUAUUGGAUAUGAAAGCUACCAUAGGACCUAACAUUGAUAUAUUAUAUGAUAUAUGUGAAAAUGAAAUGGGAUGAUAGGGAAGAACUUAACUCCUGUAAAUAUAAAUUUAAUGGGUGAAAGCUUUAGUAAGAAACACUAGCUUUCCCUCUUUGUUGAGUCAUAUUACUCUUACUAAUUAUGAAAGUGGGAUGAAGAAAGACCUUUAACCCAUACCUUGAAGUCACAACACCUACAAAAAAACCAAUCAAAACAAAUGUAGUUAAAAUCUAAAUCAUUAGAUGCUAGGUCCUUAUUAAAUCAAACUAUAGUAAAAAUUAAAAACACCCAAAUUGUUUUUACCUAGGACGUAACCGAGCUUCCAUAAAAGUGAAAAUCAAAUGAAUUUGUUCCUUUAACAAUGGUACAUAGUUGUUGCCAUCGCGGGGGAUGGCGGAACGUGAGAGAACGGCUUGGGAGAGAGUAAGUAAGGUAGAACAAGUUAAGAGGAUGAACAAAACAGAUGCAUGAAUACCGAUUAUAAAUGUUGACACAACAACAGGAGAGAUCGACCUACUUAUUACUAAUUCAAGAUCAAGAAAAACACAAUCGUUGGUUACUUAUAUACAUAAACCAAAGAAUAUUAAUCUUAAGAGAUGGAACGACCUAAGAAGAAAGAGGGGAGAAGACCGUCGUUGCCAAUUAAUUUAUGAGAUAAUUUCAAUUCUUACCAUUAAAAUGGAAUGUACAAAGUUUGAAGAAGGUAGAGGAUGAAGUUCGACUUGAAGAUUGUGGCCGAAGAUCAAAGAUACAUCAGAGGUGGAUUGAUGGCGACGGAUCGAUG